Molecule: long non-coding RNA, 2936 nt
Organism: Oncorhynchus tshawytscha (Chinook salmon)
Lineage: Eukaryota; Metazoa; Chordata; Actinopteri; Salmoniformes; Salmonidae
Source: Ensembl
AAGAAAUAAGAAUAAUUUCGCCAAGUAUCUCACAAUGUGUAUAUUUAGAUUUUUUAAAGUCAGACACCAUUUUAAUCAGGAAAAUCACCUUUUUCUAAUGACAUAAGGUUGGGGAGUGCACUCUGCUGUCAUCGAUCGCUAGAUUAGAAAUAGUCAGAAAUUGCCUUUUUUUUCUCUACCUCUUUGUUAUGCCGACAUAAGCACACUUGGCACCAUAAAGGUUCUGCAGUCUCUCCCGUGGUUGUCUGGGCGCAGCUGGGGCAGAAGAGGAAGCCACCCCUGCUGGUCUAUGAGACUUUGUGCGACCUAACCGGCCUGGCGUGUUAAGGUGCCCUAUAAGUGAAGACUGAGCAGCUCUGUGGACAUGGCUGAAGGAUGUGUGUGGUCUGAUGAAGCUGAGGGGGAAGUUCCAGCUAAGAGGACAGGAUAACACUGCCAUGGGGGCCCGCAGAGAGCUGGAUGGAAUGGUCCACUCAAAGUGGGUGAGCGAUGGGGCUGAAGCGACCAAGAUGGGGCCAUCUGAUGCCCCAGGUCUACCAGGAGAGAGGAAACAGUGGAUGGAGACGACAACAAGAAUGGCCCUGGCUGCCCUAGGACACCAUGUGGGAGAGCUGCUAGCUUGAAGGUAUUGGAGACCUUUAUGUUCAAGGGGACUUUGUUUGUUUUGAGUAAAUAUGGGGGGUUUAUUUAAAAAAGUGCUUUUGCUAACCGGUGUGUUAAACAUAAUAUUGCACGUGUGUCAUUUUGCAGUGUUUUCACUCACUCUGCGAGGAAACUCUCAUUUUAAAGUGGGUGAGAAUGUCACAGGAGUCACUACUUUACAUGUGUAACAAUCAAGCAUUCCUAUUGGAUGGUUAACGUAUCAAGUGAUUGAAUUGUGUAUUUAAAUCCCCCUUCCCCACAGGAAGGGGUGUAGUCCAGAGGCAUGGUGGAUCCUUGUUGCAACAGAGCGUAUGACCUGCCAUUGGCAUUAAACAAAGCCUGUGUGUACAUGCAUGCUGAUGAUUCAACCAUAUAUGUGUUAGCAACCACAGCUAAUGAAGUCACUGAAAUUCUUAACAAGGAGUUGCAGUCAGUUUUGGAAUGGGUGUCGAGUAAUAAACUGGUCCUGAACAUCCCUAAAACUAAGAGCAUUUUAUUUGGUACAAAUCAUUCCUAGCAAACCUAGUUUAAAACAAACAGAAAGCAAUUCCUCUCCCCCUUUUGACCUAGAAAUCGUGUGUAUGUAUUGAUAUAUAGGCUAUGUGUGCCGUUUUUAAAUGUAUGUAGUUCUGUCAUUGAGCUGUUUUUGUCAAUUAAUGUUCUGUAUAAUGCUAUGUUUUGUGUGGACCCCAGGAAGAGUAGCUGCUGCUUCCGCAACAGGUAAUGCUUCAAUCAACUCUGCCUCACGCCCCACCACUACAGAGUUUAGUUAGCUUCUUAGUUAGCUGUAAAAGGUGUUAGUGUUAUUAGCCUAUUUAGCGCUAACCAGCUAAUCUGCCAAUGCCACAAUGGAUAUCGGAAAUCAAACCAUCAAAGAUGCCUCCAAGCCCAGCAGCAAUGAUGGUGCUGAGCUCCAAAGCCCCCCCCCAUUCACAUAUGCCGCCAGGAUAAUGGCUCCACAGUCCCCUCCACCCCUGACUGUUCCUGACAAUCUUGGAAGAGGAGCCAGCCCAGAUUAGCCUAGAAUCCUACCAUAACAACAUGUUUUCUGUCCAGAAACAUUAAUUUAAUAUCAACUGCUUCAUAGGAGGAGAGUGGCUGGAAUACUCAGUUACUGCAGAUGCUGUAUUUUUGUUCCAAUGUCAAAAGUUCUGUAUUGGGUCCAUUGCUAAUGCAGACAAGGCCUUCACCCAAAGCGGGUAUUCUAACUAGAAGCAUGCUUUUGAUGAAACCAAGGGAUUCGCUAGGCACGCAUCAAGCAUGGUGCAUGGAGCAUUUGAAAUGCACUGCACUGUGGAAAGAAAAACUAAUUGUAUUCAGUUGCAUUCACAUAGGCUGUUUGUAAUAGGUGAAUUACCCCAUCUAUCUUGUAGCCUAUAUUCAUUGGCAAAUAGGCCUUGCUUUACUGUGUAAGGCGCUGUCCAUUGUGCUGAUACAGUGCAGCGGAGAUGGGUUUAUAGAUUUCGCGCCAACCUGUCACUUCAAAAGCACUCAAUGGUCUCAGAGUUUUGGCAUUUUAACUUUGUUUGUGGUAUAGCGUGAUAUAAUCAGAAUUCAAUAUAUUUCCAAUGCAAGAACCCCCCCCCCCCCAAAAGUGUGUCCCCUCACAGAUUUCAACUGUCCCCUUAGUCACUUUAACUUGCCGCAGGGUCUGUGCUGUAUGACUGGGAGAAUCUCAAUGCCCUUUUCUGAAAUAGAUUUGGUCAACUCCUGCAUCCUCUCUCCCGUCCUCUCUAACCUCCUUUUGAAAAAGGUCAAAAAGGUAAUUGAGGAGGCCGCUAGGAGAGGGAUCGUGGACGAAGAUGCGGUUGUUUGAAAUCAGACUCUCCUUUUCCAAUCGCGUGUCAUAAAUGUAUAAAGUGAUAGUUGUGCAAGACAUUUUAUAGAUAAAAGGAUCAUUAGCAUAUUGUUUUUAAAUGGUUGCGUGCUUUUCUACUUCGAGUAAACAAUAGCUGACUCAAAGUGUAAAAAGAUUUCCAAUCUCUUCCGCGAAGGACUCAGGGUUGUGCUUCCUUGCCAAUAGCAGGCUAUCGAGGAGGGGACCGUGUUCUGUUUUUCCACUAAUGAACUGAAACAUUCCUCGGCCACUUAUCGGUUUCCGGCUCACUGAGGAGUUUGCCCAAAGGAGAACUCCAAUUGCAUACUCAUGUCCUCUCUCCUCACCUCCUUCUCAAAAGAGAAAAAGGGUAUACAGAAAUGAAGCAUUCUAAGUGAAUUGUGAAAACGAGUUGAGAAUGUUGAAACUUGAUUACAGAAACGAAACCAUGUCUUAUGAAAAUAAAUGUAGAAAACUG